RNAcentral lists this ribosomal RNA (253 nucleotides) under uncultured bacterium. RNAcentral's name for it is "partial 16S ribosomal RNA". It matches the Rfam family "Bacterial small subunit ribosomal RNA", at positions 524 to 776 of the family's 1533-position model. The record is from RNAcentral.
UACGUAGGUGGCAAGCGUUGUCCGGAUUUAUUGGGUUUAAAGGGUGCGUAGGCGGCUUUGUAAGUCAGUGGUGAAAUAUGGCAGCUCAACUGUCAAGGUGCCAUUGAUACUGCGGAGCUUGAGUACAGAUGAGGUAGGCGGAAUUGACGGUGUAGCGGUGAAAUGUUUAGAUAUCGUCAAGAACACCUAUAGCGAAGGCAGCUUACUAGGCUGUAACUGACGCUGAGGCACGAAGGUGUGGGGAUCAAACAGG